Molecule: ribosomal RNA, 782 nt
Filed under: uncultured bacterium
Lineage: Bacteria
Description: bacterial SSU rRNA
Rfam family: Bacterial small subunit ribosomal RNA
Source: RNAcentral
AAUUGCGAAGGCAGCUUUCUGGAUCAUUACUGACACUGAGGAACGAAAGCAUGGGUAGCGAAGAGGAUUAGAUACCCUCGUAGUCCAUGCCGUAAACGAUGUGUGUUAGACGUUGGAAAUUUAUUUUCAGUGUCGCAGGGAAACCGAUAAACACACCGCCUGGGGAGUACGACCGCAAGGUUAAAACUCAAAUGAAUUGACGGGGACCCGCACAAGUAGUGGAGCAUGUGGUUUAAUUCGAAGAUACGCGCAGAACCUUACCAACACUUGACAUGUUCGUCGCGACUCUAAGAGAUUAGAGUUUUCGGUUCGGCCGGACGAAACACAGGUGCUGCAUGGCUGUCGUCAGCUCGUGUCGUGAGAUGUUGGGUUAAGUCCCGCAACGAGCGCAACCCUCACUUUUAGUUGCCAUCAUUAAGUUGGGCACUCUGAAAGAACUGCCAGUGAUAAGCUGGAGGAAGGUGGGGAUGACGUCAAGUCCUCAUGGCCCUUACGUGUUGGGCUACACACGUGCUACAAUGGCAUCUACAACAGGAAGCAAAACGGCAACGUUAAGCAAAUCCCGAAAAGAUGCCUCAGUUCGGAUUGCACUCUGCAACUCGAGUGCAUGAAGCUGGAAUUACUAGUAAUCGUGGAUCAGCGUGCCACGGUGAAUGCGUUCCCGGGUCUUGUACACACCGCCCGUCACACCAUGGGAGUUGGUUCUACCUUAAGGCAAGGUUUCAAACCCUUGACCACGGUAUAGUCAGCGACUGGGGUGAAGUCGUAACAAGGUAGCCGUA